UAUGACCCAAUAUACCAGGCAGGUAGGAUCAUAGAACGAUACAUUCUAUGGGAAGGGGGCUCUAUGACCCAAUAUACCAGGCAGGUAGGAUCAUAGAACGAUACAUUAUAUGGGAAGGGGGCUCUAUGACCCAAUAUACCAGGCAGGUAGGAUCAUAGAACGAUACAUUCUAUGGGAAGGUGGCUCUAUGACCCAAUAUACCAGGCAGGUAGGAUCAUAGAACGAUACAUUCUAUGGGAAGGGGGCUCUAUGACCCAAUAUACCAGGCAGGUAGGAUCAUAGAACGAUACAUUCUAUGGGAAGGGGGCUCUAUGACCCAAUAUACCAGGCAGGUAGGAUCAUAGAACGAUACAUUCUAUGGGAAGGUGGCUCUAUGACCCAAUAUACCAGGCAGGUAGGAUCAUAGAACGAUACAUUCUAUGGGAAGGUGGCUCUAUGACCCAAUAUACCAGGCAGGUAGGAUCAUAGAACGAUACAUUCUAUGGGAAGGUGGCUCUAUGACCCAAUAUACCAGGCAGGUAGGAUCAUAGAACGAUACAUUCUAUGGGAAGGGGGCUCUAUGACCCAAUAUACCAGGCAGGUAGGAUCAUAGAACGAUACAUUCUAUGGGAAGGGGGCUCUAUGACCCAAUAUACCAGGCAGGUAGGAUCAUAGAACGAUAC
Molecule: long non-coding RNA, 662 nt
Organism: Oncorhynchus keta (chum salmon)
Lineage: Eukaryota; Metazoa; Chordata; Actinopteri; Salmoniformes; Salmonidae
Exons: 3
Source: RefSeq, a predicted model, not a curated record